Molecule: long non-coding RNA, 268 nt
Filed under: Mytilus galloprovincialis (Mediterranean mussel)
Lineage: Eukaryota; Metazoa; Mollusca; Bivalvia; Mytilida; Mytilidae
Source: RNAcentral
GUCUUUAUGCAUAUCUAAAUUGUAAUCUACAGUCUUUAUAAACUAUAGGCUCAAAAGAGCCUGUGUCGCUCACCUUGGUCUAUGUGCAUAUCAUAAACGAAAUAAAAAUUACUAAAUUUACAAAUUUAUGAAAAUUGUUAAAAAUUGAUAAUAAAAGGGAAAUACUCCUUAAGGGGUUAAUUGACCAUUUUGAUCAUGUUGACUUUUGAGCAAUUCACUAUGCUGUUGAAUAUUAAUCUCUCAAAAAAACAUAUUUGAAGAAAUUUUC